GACGAACGCUGGCGGCGUGCCUAAUACAUGCAAGUCGAACGAGAGCGCCCGGUGCUUGCACUGGUCAAUCUAGUGGCGAACGGGUGAGUAACACGUGGGUAACCUGCCCAUCAGAGGGGGAUAACAUUCGGAAACGGAUGCUAAAACCGCAUAGGUCUUCGAACCGCAUGGUUUGAAGAGGAAAAGAGGCGCAAGCUUCUGCUGAUGGAUGGACCCGCGGUGCAUUAGCUAGUUGGUGAGGUAACGGCUCACCAAGGCCGUGAUGCAUAGCCGACCUGAGGGGGUGAUCGGCCACAUUGGGACUGAGACACGGCCCAAACUCCUACGGGAGGCAGCAGUAGGGAAUCUUCCGCAAAGGACGCAAGUCUGACGGAGCAACGCCGCGUGAGUGAAGAAGGUUUUCGGAUCGUAAAACUCUGUUGUUAGAGAAGAACAAGUGCUAGAGUAACUGUUAGCGCCUUGACGGUAUCUAACCAGAAAGCCACGGCUAACUACGUG
RNAcentral lists this ribosomal RNA (498 nucleotides) under uncultured bacterium. RNAcentral describes it as "partial 16S ribosomal RNA". It matches the Rfam family "Bacterial small subunit ribosomal RNA", at positions 28 to 507 of the family's 1533-position model. The record is from RNAcentral.